UAACCCGUGCCCUAGCACAAGGUUUUCAGCUGUGUCAAUUGGAAAUUCUUCAACCUUGGAUUUAAAAGUGAUACAUCCAGAUUUAGGACUUUGACGCGAGACGAGU
Long non-coding RNA from Zingiber officinale, 106 nucleotides. RefSeq lists it as uncharacterized. The transcript is spliced from 3 exons. The record is from RefSeq and is a predicted model, not a curated record. Lineage: Eukaryota; Viridiplantae; Streptophyta; Magnoliopsida; Zingiberales; Zingiberaceae.